CCACUCAGUACCGACGUACUGGAUGUAGCGGACGCCUAUUCGCCCUUGGAUCCUGACUUUGAUUCUGGUCCAGGAUGAACGCUGGCGGCGUGCCUAACACAUGCAAGUCGAACGGAAUUUACAUGAAGCCUAGCGAUUGUAAAUUUAGUGGCGGACGGGUGAGUAACGCGUGGGUAACCUGCCUUGUACUGGGGGACAACAGUUGGAAACGACUGCUAAUACCGCAUAAUGUAUUCUGACCGCAUGAUCGGAAUACCAAAGAUUUAUUGCUGAAAGAUGGCCUCGCGUCUGAUUAGAUAGUUGGUGAGGUAACGGCCCACCAAGUCAACGAUCAGUAGCCGGACUGAGAGGUUGAACGGCCACAUUGGGACUGAGAUACGGCCCAGACUCCUACGGGAGGCAGCAGUGGGGAAUAUUGGGCAAUGGGGGAAACCCUGACCCAGCAACGCCGCGUGAAGGAAGAAGGCUUUCGGGUUGUAAACUUCUUUUACCAGGGACGAAGGACGUGACGGUACCUGGAGAAAAAGCCACGGCUAACUACGUGCCAGCAGCCGCGGUAAUACGUAGGUGGCAAGCGUUGUCCGGAUUUACUGGGUGUAAAGGGCGUGUAGGCGGAGAAGCAAGUCAGAAGUGAAAUCCAUGGGCUUAACCCAUGAACUGCUUUUGAAACUGUUUCCCUUGAGUAUCGGAGAGGCAGGCGGAAUUCCUAGUGUAGCGGUGAAAUGCGUAGAUAUUAGGAGGAACACCAGUGGCGGAGGCGGCCUGCUGGACGACAACUGACGCUGAGGCGCGAAAGCGUGGGGAGCAAACAGGAUUAGAUACCCUGGUAGUCCACGCUGUAAACGAUGAAUACUAGGUGUGGGAGGACUGACCCCUUCCGUGCCGCAGUUAACACAAUA
RNAcentral lists this ribosomal RNA (899 nucleotides) under uncultured bacterium. RNAcentral's name for it is "bacterial SSU rRNA". It matches the Rfam family "Bacterial small subunit ribosomal RNA", at positions 1 to 862 of the family's 1533-position model. The record is from RNAcentral.